This 1441-nucleotide ribosomal RNA is filed under the name uncultured organism. Its description in RNAcentral is "SSU rRNA". It matches the Rfam family "Bacterial small subunit ribosomal RNA". The record is from RNAcentral.
UAGCUACAGGCUUAACACAUGCAAGUCGAGGGGCAGCAUGGUCUUAGCUUGCUAAGGCCGAUGGCGACCGGCGCACGGGUGAGUAACACGUAUCCAACCUGCCGUCUACUCUUGGACAGCCUUCUGAAAGGAAGAUUAAUACAAGAUGGCAUCAUGAGUCCGCAUGUUCACAUGAUUAAAGGUAUUCCGGUAGACGAUGGGGAUGCGUUCCAUUAGAUAGUAGGCGGGGUAACGGCCCACCUAGUCUUCGAUGGAUAGGGGUUCUGAGAGGAAGGUCCCCCACAUUGGAACUGAGACACGGUCCAAACUCCUACGGGAGGCAGCAGUGAGGAAUAUUGGUCAAUGGGCGAGAGCCUGAACCAGCCAAGUAGCGUGAAGGAUGACUGCCCUAUGGGUUGUAAACUUCUUUUAUAAAGGAAUAAAGUCGGGUAUGGAUACCCGUUUGCAUGUACUUUAUGAAUAAGGAUCGGCUAACUCCGUGCCAGCAGCCGCGGUAAUACGGAGGAUCCGAGCGUUAUCCGGAUUUAUUGGGUUUAAAGGGAGCGUAGAUGGAUGUUUAAGUCAGUUGUGAAAGUUUGCGGCUCAACCGUAAAAUUGCAGUUGAUACUGGAUAUCUUGAGUGCAGUUGAGGCAGGCGGAAUUCGUGGUGUAGCGGUGAAAUGCUUAGAUAUCACGAAGAACUCCGAUUGCGAAGGCAGCCUGCUAAGCUGCAACUGACAUUGAGGCUCGAAAGUGUGGGUAUCAAACAGGAUUAGAUACCCUGGUAGUCCACACGGUAAACGAUGAAUACUCGCUGUUUGCGAUAUACUGCAAGCGGCCAAGCGAAAGCGUUAAGUAUUCCACCUGGGGAGUACGCCGGCAACGGUGAAACUCAAAGGAAUUGACGGGGGCCCGCACAAGCGGAGGAACAUGUGGUUUAAUUCGAUGAUACGCGAGGAACCUUACCCGGGCUUAAAUUGCAGAUGAAUUACGGUGAAAGCCGUAAGCCGCAAGGCAUCUGUGAAGGUGCUGCAUGGUUGUCGUCAGCUCGUGCCGUGAGGUGUCGGCUUAAGUGCCAUAACGAGCGCAACCCUUGUUGUCAGUUACUAACAGGUUCCGCUGAGGACUCUGACAAGACUGCCAUCGUAAGAUGUGAGGAAGGUGGGGAUGACGUCAAAUCAGCACGGCCCUUACGUCCGGGGCUACACACGUGUUACAAUGGGGGGUACAGAGGGCCGCUACCACGCGAGUGGAUGCCAAUCCCCAAAACCUCUCUCAGUUCGGACUGGAGUCUGCAACCCGACUCCACGAAGCUGGAUUCGCUAGUAAUCGCGCAUCAGCCACGGCGCGGUGAAUACGUUCCCGGGCCUUGUACACACCGCCCGUCAAGCCAUGGGAGCCGGGGGUACCUGAAGUGCGUAACCGCGAGGAGCGCCCUAGGGUAAAACUGGUGACUGGGGCU